RNAcentral lists this ribosomal RNA (253 nucleotides) under uncultured bacterium. RNAcentral describes it as "partial 16S ribosomal RNA". It matches the Rfam family "Bacterial small subunit ribosomal RNA", at positions 524 to 776 of the family's 1533-position model. The record is from RNAcentral.
UACGGGGGGGGCAAGCGUUGUUCGGAAUUACUGGGCGUAAAGGGCUCGUAGGCGGCCAACUAAGUCGGAUGUGAAGUCCCCAGGCUCAACUUGGGAACUGCAUCCGAUACUGGAUGGCUUGAAUUCGGGAGAGGGAUGCAGAAUUCCAGGUGUAGCGGUGAAAUGCGUAGAUAUCUGGAGGAAUACCGGUGGCGAAGGCGGCAUCCUGGACCGACAUUGACGCUGAGGAGCGAAAGCUAGGGGAGCAAACGGG